UACUAACGCUGGCGGCGUGCCUAAUACAUGCAAGUAGAACGCUGAAGGAGGAGCUUGCUCUUCUGGAUGAGUUGCGAACGGGUGAGUAACGCGUAGGUAACCUGCCUGGUAGCGGGGGAUAACUAUUGGAAACGAUAGCUAAUACCGCAUAACAGUAGAUGUUGCAUGACAUUUGCUUAAAAGGUGCAAUUGCAUCACUACCAGAUGGACCUGCGUUGUAUUAGCUAGUUGGUGGGGUAACGGCUCACCAAGGCGACGAUACAUAGCCGACCUGAGAGGGUGAUCGGCCACACUGGGACUGAGACACGGCCCAGACUCCUACGGGAGGCAGCAGUAGGGAAUCUUCGGCAAUGGACGGAAGUCUGACCGAGCAACGCCGCGUGAGUGAAGAAGGUUUUCGGAUCGUAAAGCUCUGUUGUAAGAGAAGAACGAGUGUGAGAGUGGAAAGUUCACACUGUGACGGUAUCUUACCAGAAAGGGACGGCUAACUACGUG
Molecule: ribosomal RNA, 495 nt
Filed under: uncultured bacterium
Lineage: Bacteria
Description: partial 16S ribosomal RNA
Rfam family: Bacterial small subunit ribosomal RNA
Source: RNAcentral